UCGAGAAUUUUUCACAAUGGGCGAAAGCCUGAUGGAGCGACGCCGCGUGGGGGAUGAAUGGCUUCGGUCCGUAAACCCCUGUCAUUUGCGAACAAACCUUUCGGUUUAACAGGCCGAGAGCUGAUUGUAGCGGAAGAGGAAGGGACGGCUAACUCUGUGCCAGCAGCCGCGGUAAUACAGAGGUCCCAAGCGUUGUUCGGAUUCACUGGGCGUAAAGGGUGCGUAGGUGGCUGGGUAAGUUUGAGGUGAAAGCUCCGGGCUCAACCCGGAAAUUGCCUUGAAUACUAUUCGGCUAGAGGGUUGGAGGGGAGACUGGAAUUCUCGGUGUAGCAGUGAAAUGCGUAGAUAUCGAGAGGAACACCAGUGGCGAAGGCGAGUCUCUGGACAACAUCUGACACUGAGGCACGAAAGCCAAGGGAGCAAACGG
RNAcentral lists this ribosomal RNA (427 nucleotides) under uncultured bacterium. RNAcentral describes it as "bacterial SSU rRNA". It matches the Rfam family "Bacterial small subunit ribosomal RNA", at positions 355 to 775 of the family's 1533-position model. The record is from RNAcentral.